Non-coding RNA from Podarcis lilfordi (Lilford's wall lizard), 70 nucleotides. NCBI's taxonomy places the organism in Eukaryota, Metazoa, Chordata, Lepidosauria, Squamata, Lacertidae. The record is from the annotation of a GenBank genome assembly.
GCCUGUGGUGGUGCAGUGGUUAGAGUGUUGGACUCUGGGAGAGAUUUGGGUUCGAAUCCCCACUCGGGCA